GACGAACGCUGGCGGCGUGCUUAACACAUGCAAGUCGAACGGAAAGGCCCUGCUUUUGUGGGGUGCUCGAGUGGCGAACGGGUGAGUAACACGUGAGUAACCUGCCCUUGACUUUGGGAUAACUUCAGGAAACUGGGGCUAAUACCGGAUAUGAUCUCCUGCUGCAUGUUGGGGGUUGGAAAGUUUCGGCGGUUGGGGAUGGACUCGCGGUUUACCAGCUGUUUGGUGGGGUAGUGCCUUACAAAGCUUUUGACGGGUAGCCGGCCUGGGAGGGUGACCGGCCACAUGGGGACUGAGAUACGGACCAGAAUCCUACGGGAGGCAGCAGUGGGGAAUAUUGCACAAUGGGCGGAAGCCUGAUGCAGAAACGCCGCGUGCGGGAUGACGGCCUUCGGGUUGUAAACCGCUUUCGCCUGUGACGAAGCGUGAGUGACGGUAAUGGGUAAAGAAGCACCGGCUAACUACGUG
This 468-nucleotide ribosomal RNA is filed under the name uncultured bacterium. RNAcentral describes it as "partial 16S ribosomal RNA". It matches the Rfam family "Bacterial small subunit ribosomal RNA", at positions 28 to 507 of the family's 1533-position model. The record is from RNAcentral.